This 536-nucleotide ribosomal RNA is filed under the name uncultured bacterium. Its description in RNAcentral is "bacterial SSU rRNA". It matches the Rfam family "Bacterial small subunit ribosomal RNA", at positions 336 to 863 of the family's 1533-position model. The record is from RNAcentral.
CUCCUACGGGAGGCUGCAGUGGGGAAUAUUGGACAAUGGGCGCAAGCCUGAUCCAGCCAUGCCGCGUGGGUGAAGAAGGCCUUCGGGUUGUAAAGCCCUUUUGUCCGGAAAGAAAAGUUCUGGGUUAAUAACCCAGGAUCAUGACGGUACCGGAAGAAUAAGCACCGGCUAACUUCGUGCCAGCAGCCGCGGUAAUACGAAGGGUGCAAGCGUUACUCGGAAUUACUGGGCGUAAAGCGUGCGUAGGUGGUGGUUUAAGUCAGAUGUGAAAGCCCUGGGCUCAACCUGGGAACUGCAUUUGAUACUGGAUCACUAGAGUGCGGUAGAGGAUAGUGGAAUUCCCGGUGUAGCAGUGAAAUGCGUAGAGAUCGGGAGGAACACCAGUGGCGAAGGCGGCUAUCUGGACCAGCACUGACACUGAGGCACGAAAGCGUGGGGAGCAAACAGGAUUAGAUACCCUGGUAGUCCACGCCCUAAACGAUGCGAACUGGAUGUUGGGAGCAACUUGGCUCUCAGUAUCGAAGCUAACGCGUUAA